Molecule: ribosomal RNA, 697 nt
Filed under: uncultured bacterium
Lineage: Bacteria
Description: bacterial SSU rRNA
Rfam family: Bacterial small subunit ribosomal RNA
Source: RNAcentral
UAAUACAUAGAUAAUCUACCUUUUAGAGAGAAAUAACUACGAGAAAUUGUAGCUAAUGUCGCAUAAGACCACGAGAUGGCAUCAUCAAGAGGUCAAAGGAGAAAUCCGCUAGAAGAUGAGUCUAUGGCUGAUUAGUUAGUUGGCAGAGUAAGAGCCUACCAAGACGAUGAUCAGUAGCCGAGCUGAGAGGCUGGCCGGCCACAUUGGGACUGAGACACGGCCCAGACUCCUACGGGAGGCAGCAGUUGGGAAUAUUGGACAAUGGAGGAAACUCUGAUCCAGUGACGCCGCGUGAAGGAAGAAGGUCUUCGGAUUGUAAACUUAUUUUAUCAGGGAAGAGAAAGGACAGUACCUGAGGAAGAAGCACCGGCUAACUACGUGCCAGCAGCCGCGGUAAUACGUAGGGUGCAAGCGUUAUCCGGAUUUACUGGGUGUAAAGGGCGAGUAGACGGUAAUGCAAGUCAGAUGUGAAAUGCUAGGGCUUAACCUUAGAACUGCAUCUGAAACUGCAAUACUAGAGUGCAGAAGUGGUAAGUGGAAUUCCUAGUGUAGCGGUGAAAUGCGUAGAUAUUAGGAGGAACACCAGUGGCGAAGGCGACUUACUGGGCUGUAACUGACGUUGAGGCGCGAAAGUGUGGGGAGCAAACAGGAUUAGAUACCCUGGUAGUCCACACCGUAAACGAUGGAUACUAGGUGU